Homo sapiens (human) is the source of this 713-nucleotide long non-coding RNA. Ensembl annotates it as PDE7B antisense RNA 1. Its record names the gene PDE7B-AS1. The record is from Ensembl. Lineage: Eukaryota; Metazoa; Chordata; Mammalia; Primates; Hominidae.
CGUGGGGGGGGACCUGGUGAGAGGUAAUUGAGUCAUGGGGGUGGGGUUUUCCCGUGCUGUUCUUGUGACAGUGAGUAAGUCUCAUGUGAUCUGCUGGUUUUAUAAAGGGCAGUUUCCCUGCACCUACUCUCUUGCCUGCCACCAUAUAAGACAUGCCUUUGCUCCUCCUUUGGCUUCCACCAUGAUUGUGAGGCCUCCCCAGCCAUGUGGAACUUUGCAGGUAUUUCUUUAUAGCAAUGUGAGAAGGAACUAAUAUACAAGUGGAAGGCUGUUUGGGACAAUAGCACUCAUCCAGCACUUCUCCUUCCUGUCACCAUGUGAAGAAGGACGUGUUUGCUUCCCCUUCUGCUAUGAUUGUAAGCUUCCUGAGGCCUCCCCAGCCCUGCAGAACUAAAUCCAAAGAAGCCACUAUGCUGAAAAUACUUUGAGUGGGUUAGAGUUUCGCUCAAGGAAGUGCUGUAGUAGAAAAUGGCCAUUUCUCUGUGCUGUGUUCAGAGUAAGAGACAUGGGUGAAAGAGUUAUCCGGAAUGGAAUGCUGAGGAGACCCUAAAGGGAAUUUCCGGGUGGAUGGCCAGCACUGUCACUCGAUGAGUGGAGGAUUGACAAACUUGCCAAAUACUGCAAGAAAAGAUGUUGCUGAUCACGGAUAGGAAAUACUCCAAGUCCCAGGAGAUAGUCUGUUCUUAGGAGACUUCCACACCAAGUCUGCUGAC